GACCUUCAUGCUAAUGUCUGAGGAAUGAGGAGCAUUCUAGCUGUGCCACACUGAAGAAAAUGAAUGCCAACCAGAGUUUUAGAUCAUAUGAUGGAAGUGCCGGUAGCGUGGGAGAGGUUUGACGAGUCUACACCCAGCUGUCCCAGUUCAAAAGCCACUGAUGAGACAAAUGAGCUUGAUCCUGAACAGAGGCAAAAGGUAAGUGUGCCUAUGAAGAAGUCCAAAUGAUGUGACACUAUUUCAGUUUAAUUCUAGCUCACUUGUACUCUACAUACUGCAAAGUUGAUUUAAAUCUUAUUCUAAAUUUAAGUUUGGAAAGGUUGCUUUCU
Molecule: long non-coding RNA, 329 nt
Organism: Archocentrus centrarchus (flier cichlid)
Lineage: Eukaryota; Metazoa; Chordata; Actinopteri; Cichliformes; Cichlidae
Exons: 3
Source: RefSeq, a predicted model, not a curated record